GAGAAUCCUCAACGCCUAUUGGGAAAGGUUUCCUGGGGAAGGUUCGUCCACCCAGGGUUAGUCAGGACCUAAGGAGAGGCCGAAAGGCGUAUCUGAUGGACAACAGGUUAAUAUUCCUGUACUGGCUGUACGUAGUGAUGGAGUGACGGAGAAGGAUAACACUACCACUUAUUGGAUUGUGGGGUAAGUAACAACUGGUGGACAUAGUUAAAUGCGUGUCCUCUAACCGGGAGUUGCGAGUCAUAAGCUGAAAAGCUGAAUUGUGUGAUUUCAUGCUUCCAAGAAAAGCUUCUAAACGUUUAAAUGUAUGGUCACCUGUACCGAGAACGGACACACGUUCCCAAGAUGAGUAUUCUAAGGCGAGCGAGAAAACCAAUGUUAAGGAACUCUGCAAAUUAACCCCGUAAGUUCGCGAGAAGGGGUGCCAACUUUUGGUUGGCCACAGUAAAUUGUGAGGGGCAACUGUUUAUCAAAAACACAACUCUCUGCUAAACCGCAAGGUGAUGUAUAGGGGGUGAAGCCUGCCCAGUGCCCGAAGGUUAAGUGGAUGCGUUAGCUUAUGCGAAGCGUUGAAAUGAAGCCCGGGUGAACGGCGGCCGUAACUAUAACGGUCCUAAGGUAGCG
This 624-nucleotide ribosomal RNA is filed under the name Mycoplasma sp. CSL10166. Its description in RNAcentral is "partial 23S ribosomal RNA". It matches the Rfam family "Bacterial large subunit ribosomal RNA", at positions 1323 to 1961 of the family's 2925-position model. Lineage: Bacteria; Bacillati; Mycoplasmatota; Mollicutes; Mycoplasmatales; Mycoplasmataceae. The record is from RNAcentral.